UCCCUGGUGGCUCAGAGGUAAAGCACUUGCCUGCAAUGCGGGAGACCCAGGUUCGAUCCCUCGUAGGGAA
Molecule: transfer RNA, 70 nt
Filed under: Bos taurus (domestic cattle)
Lineage: Eukaryota; Metazoa; Chordata; Mammalia; Artiodactyla; Bovidae
Also listed under: 4 other names
Rfam family: tRNA
About the family: Transfer RNA (tRNA) molecules are approximately 80 nucleotides in length. Their secondary structure includes four short double-helical elements and three loops (D, anti-codon, and T loops).
Source: Rfam by way of RNAcentral